This 762-nucleotide ribosomal RNA is filed under the name uncultured Acidobacteriota bacterium. Its description in RNAcentral is "bacterial SSU rRNA". It matches the Rfam family "Bacterial small subunit ribosomal RNA", at positions 60 to 853 of the family's 1533-position model. The record is from RNAcentral. Lineage: Bacteria; Pseudomonadati; Acidobacteriota.
AGUCGCACGAGAAAGUGGAGCAAUCCAUGAGUAAAGUGGCGCACGGGUGAGUAACACGUGAAUAAUCUACCUCCGAGUGGGGAAUAACUUCGGGAAACCGAGGCUAAUACCGCAUAACACUUACGAGUCAAAGCAGCAAUGCGCUUGGAGAGGAGUUCGCGGCAGAUUAGCUAGUUGGUGGGGUAAUGGCCCACCAAGGCGAUGAUCUGUAUCCGGCCUGAGAGGGCGCACGGACACACUGGAACUGAAACACGGUCCAGACUCCUACGGGAGGCAGCAGUGGGGAAUUUUGCGCAAUGGGGGAAACCCUGACGCAGCAACGCCGCGUGGAGGAUGAAAUCCCUUGGGAUGUAAACUCCUUUCGAUCGGGACGAUUAUGACGGUACCGGAAGAAGAAGCCCCGGCUAACUUCGUGCCAGCAGCCGCGGUAAUACGAGGGGGGCAAGCGUUGUUCGGAAUUAUUGGGCGUAAAGGGUGCGUAGGCGGUUUGAUAAGUCUUAUGUGAAAUCUCUGGGCUCAACCCAGAGUCUGCAUAGGAAACUGUCGGGCUUGAGUAUGGGAGAGGUGAGUGGAAUUUCCGGUGUAGCGGUGAAAUGCGUAGAUAUCGGAAGGAACACCUGUGGCGAAAGCGGCUCACUGGACCAUUACUGACGCUGAUGCACGAAAGCUAGGGGAGCAAACAGGAUUAGAUACCCUGGUAGUCCUAGCCCUAAACGAUGAUUGCUUGAUGUGGAGGGUACCCAAUCCUUCCGUGUCGAAGCU